Small nucleolar RNA from Zalophus californianus (California sea lion), 127 nucleotides. The record is from Ensembl. NCBI's taxonomy places the organism in Eukaryota, Metazoa, Chordata, Mammalia, Carnivora, Otariidae.
GUUGAGGUCUAUCCCGAUUGUCUUUUUCUGCAGACCCACAUCAUUGGAGAUGCCUCGUUGAAUAACUAUGUUGUUUGCUUUACUCAUAGAACUAUGUUACGUCUGUGGACAUAACUAUAAGAGAGAG